Molecule: small nucleolar RNA, 138 nt
Filed under: Ornithorhynchus anatinus (platypus)
Lineage: Eukaryota; Metazoa; Chordata; Mammalia; Monotremata; Ornithorhynchidae
Source: RNAcentral
CCCCUUUCAGGGUCACUCCUGGAGAGUUUCCAGUACUCUACCAGUCUUGAUUGCAGGAGGGAGAGUCACGCAGAGGCCUGUCCAUUCCAUUCCUAGCUUGGGCAGUGGCUAGUGAGUGGCAGGCAAUCUGCUAUAAGU